UGUGUGUGUGUCUCUCUGUGUGUGUGUGUAUAUAUAUAUAUAUAUAUAUAUAUAUACACACACAGACACACACACACA
Pelobates cultripes (western spadefoot toad) is the source of this 78-nucleotide non-coding RNA. Lineage: Eukaryota; Metazoa; Chordata; Amphibia; Anura; Pelobatidae. The record is from the annotation of a GenBank genome assembly.